GCCUGGGUGACUCAGUCGGUUGAGCGUCCGACUUCGGCUCAGAUCACUAUCUCGCGGUCUGUGGGUUCGAGCCCUGCUUCGGGCU
Transfer RNA from Felis catus (domestic cat), 85 nucleotides. It matches the Rfam family "tRNA". From Rfam's summary of the family: Transfer RNA (tRNA) molecules are approximately 80 nucleotides in length. The record is from Rfam. NCBI's taxonomy places the organism in Eukaryota, Metazoa, Chordata, Mammalia, Carnivora, Felidae.